RNAcentral lists this long non-coding RNA (7401 nucleotides) under Heterocephalus glaber (naked mole-rat). Its description in RNAcentral is "lncRNA (ENSHGLG00100050826.1)". The record is from RNAcentral. Lineage: Eukaryota; Metazoa; Chordata; Mammalia; Rodentia; Bathyergidae.
CUCAUGGCUACAUUCACACCUCCAGUGCUUAGUGAGCUCCUAUUUACUCUUCAAAACCCUAUGCUGUUGUCACCCUGCUUUCCCUCAGGAAGAAUGAAGUCCUCUUCUCUCUACCUGCACUGUCAUCACACAGGCUUCACUUCUGUUGUAGAAUCUGGAAGACUUCAUGAAAGGGCAGUGAGUCUGAAAUCAAGUUUGGUGAAUGAAUGAAUGAAUGAGGGGAAGAAGUGAGAUGAGCAGAGAUAUGGGAUGACAUCCCAGUGGGAGAGGUCCUGUAGGGAAAAGUCAGUGGAGGAAAACAGCUCGUCGAUCAGGAAGUAACCAGAGCAGCCAGGCGAGGGGAGGGGAGCAUCCAAUCCCCUUUUUAUCAUUCACCUCACAGAUACUUGAGUAUUUGACUUAGUGUCUGUAUACUAGACUGUGAGUCUUAUAAGCCCAUCUGACAAUGUCUGUAGAGCUUUACCUGAGAAGUACCACAUAGUAAAUGCAUGAUUAAUCAUCCUUAAAUGGAUUAGAGAAUUCGGGUUCUGAGGAAGUGGGCAGGGCAGGGCCUGAGUGGCACCAGGCAUCAGAGACCCAGGCCCCACACAGGGUUGCCCAAACCAAGAUGCUCAGUUAAACCUGAAUUUUAGAUAAUUAAUAGAUAAUCUUUUUUUUUUUUUUUGGUACCAGGGAUUGAACUCGGGUCCUUUUGGUUGCAAGACAGGUGGCAGAACCACUGAGAUAGGCCAGGGUGCUGCUGUGGUCUUUCCAGUGCAUUUGCAAGAUGGGGACAUCUCUGAACAUGGGAGCAGAAAGCUCUACCUGCAGCCAUGGAGGCCUGCAAUGAUGGCAAAGGGCAUUAAUGAUGAGCUCCUGCCCCUGACCCCGACCUCAUCAACCACUGCUCCUCUCCCCAGCCGGGUUCUGCAAUCCAGCCAGCUGCAGAGGAGUUUAAAGGGUAGCCGUCCCCAGUCAGCCAGCUGGCCAUUAAUAAUGUUUUCAUCCGUGACAAUGACAAACCUGCAGUACUUGUGGAGAGUUUAUUAAGAAAAGACAGUGAAAUGGAAGUCCCUAUGGUAAUCAAUUCUCAAUUGUGCAGAAGCAUCAACAAAUCAGAAUGGCCCAAUGGUCAGGCUAGUGAGUUCUCUUAAAUGUUCUACCUUCUGUUAGUUCCCACAUCUUGCAAGAUUCAAAUUCAAGCUAGAGAGCCUCAGGGUUGGACACAGAGUAUGAACAGUAUGGAAUUCCCACUCAGAGUCACAGGCAAGAAGGAAGGAAGACUUGGAGCCUCUGGUCUAAGGAUUCGGUUCUGCCAUUCUAUUCAGUUUAGUGAAUGUCUCGAGAGUAUGUCUUCUAAGCCAGGUCCUGGGCCAAGGGCACAGGGUAGGGGGAGGGAAGAGAUACAGUAACAACAAGCUGGCAUGGGACCAAUCGUGAGAUGUACAGUGAUGGCUAUGUCAGUAGUGUAGACCACCACUCCACCAUAAAGACCUCCACAGGGGAAAGGAAUUCCAGGAAGGCUUCACAGAGGAGGUAUCUCAGUGAAAUCGAGGCUUGAAGAACAAGUGGAGAAAUGUCAUAUGGGAAAGGAAAGGACAUGCUGGGUGCUAUGGGCUGAACUGUGUCCCCUUGAAAUUCAAACGCUGAAAUACUAACCUGCAAAUAGUAUCUUAGAAUGAGACUAUUUGGAGACAGUGUAAAGAGGUAAUUAAUUAAAAUGAAGUCACUGAGGUGGGCCUUCAUUCACUCUGACUGAUGUUCUUCUGAGAUGAGGAGAUCUGGGCACAGAGAUCUGAAUCACCUUUGUACAGGGAGAAGCCAAAGAGAGAGGCCUCAGAUGAAAUCAGCCUUGAGAACUUGAUCUCAAACUUCCAGCAUCUAGAAUGGUGAGAAAACAAAUACCUGCUGUUUGAGGGUGCCCAGCCUAUGGCUCUUUGUUAGUGAUAGUGAAAAAAAUAUACCAGGGACGCAAAGAGCUCCAACCAAGUUCUGGAAGUGACUGUGACUGAGUACUCAGAGAACUGUGUUGCUCUGAGGAGUUGGAGAAGCCUGAAGGAGACAGAAUCUGCUUGCCAGAGGCAUCUGGACCCCAGAGUUCUUGGCCCCUUCCAUUUACAAAUUUUUCUUUUCUUUCUUUUUUUUUUUUUGUACCUGGGAUCGAACUCGGGUCAUUGCGCUUGCGAGGCAGGCAGUGAAACCACUGAGCUAAAUCCUCAGCCCCCUUGGCCCCUUCCAGAUGGAUGCUUUCAUGGGCACCCCGUGGCAAGCUUUCCCCUUUCUGCUUCCACCUUCCCGGAGGAAGCUGGACACGCACUCUUUGCUUUGCUUCGGUGCAAACUCACAAGCAGAUCCCAGCUCAGAAUGCCAUUCUCCUUUCCUGGGUCUCCCCAGUCAGAACCAUUUAUACUCUAUUUACUUGAUGGAGUAAUGUCAACAGAUACUCUAAUGACUAGGGUUGCAUGUCUCCUCCAACAGUCUUGCUUCCUGGCCUUUCACACCUAAGACCCUCCCAGGUCUCUCUCAGUGGAUGACUACUGGGGGAAACUGAACUAAGCUCAAAGCCAAAGCCCAACUAGAAGAUGUUUUAGAAACAGUAAAGCCUCUGUGCUGUGGGAGUGUGUGAUAGGCUGAUUAAUGGCUCUUAAGCAUGUAAGGUCCUGAUCCCUGGAACCUGUAAAAUCUCCUUAUAUGGAAAAGGGUCUUUACUGAUGUGAUCUUGAGAUGGAGGGGUCACUUGGAUUAUCCUAGUGGGCUUGAAUGCAGUUACAUGCAUCCUUAUAAGCAGAGGGCAGAGAGAAUUUGACACACAUAGAGAUGCUGAUGUGAAGACGGAGUCAAGAUGGAGCAGCAGAUGCUGGUCCUGAAGACAAGAAUGAUACAACCACAAGCUAAGGAAAGCCAGCAGAAGCCAGAAAAGGCAAGGAAAGUAUAUUUCCUUAGCGUCUCUGAGAAAACAAGGCCUUCCUCACAUCCUGAUUCAGCCCUCGACUGACUUCAAAUCUUUGACCUCUGGAACUAUGAAAGAAUAAAUUCUUGUUUUAAGAUAUCAAGUUCCUGGUAAUCUGCUACAGAAGCCACUGGAAAUUCAUAUAGAGGUAGGUCAGGACCCUCCAUUAGGCCCCAACACCUGCUAGGUCUAGCCCUAUACAGUAUUAGCUUUUUGUUACUCUAAGGAAAUAUCUGAGAUAAUCAAUUUAAGGAGAGAGAAAGGUUUAACUUUGAAUCAUAGAGGUUUCUGUCAAUGGUUGGUUGGUCCUGCUCCUUUGGGGCCUGUAGCAAGACAGCACUUUACCUUAUGGCCAGGAAUGAAGAGGAAGAGGAGGCACUGGGGUCCCGCUCUCCCCUUCAGAGACUUGCCUCCAAUGGCCAGAAGAUUCCCAACAGCUCCAAGCUGGAGAUCAUGCCUUUCACAUGUGUGCCUUUGGAGGACAUUUCAGAUCCAAACUAGAGCAAUCUCUCUCUCUCUCUCUCUCUCUCUCUCUCUCUCUCUCUCUCUCUCUUCCUUAGUUUCCUGCCCUGUGCACUUGUGCAAUGGGAACAAUAGCCAACCUCAUCCUGUGCACUCUGCAGCUCUUUUUUCCAAAGCUCAGAGAAGGCCUGGUAUAUGCUGAUAUGCAUCGGGGUCAAGGGCACCCACAGGAUCAGGCUUGGGAGCUCCAGCAGCUGCCCCACAGGCAGCAGAACAUCACAACCUUGAGUCGACCUUGUUAUCUGAGAGCCCGAGGAGCCCCCACUGCCAUGUUCACUACAUAUUCUCACUUAUUGUGCCCAAUUGGAUGAUAAAUGCAGAGGCUGCAGGGACACUGGGCUGAAAAGGUCCUGCCAACUGAGAGAUGUAGCUCAGGCACCAUAAAUAAUUUCCUUCUUACUGGGGAUUUAGCUCAGUGGUGUCACCGCCUGCCUCGAAAGCUCAAGGUCCAGAGUUCAAUCCCCGGUACCAAAAAACAAAAACAAAAACAAAACAAAAAAAAUAAUUUCCCUCCCAAAGGCCUGGCUUUCUUGAAUGCGGAGAUCCUGGAGGGCUCUGCUGCCUGCCUCACAACUGACAGUGCUCAACAGGAAACCAGAAGUGGGGGAGAGAGGUCAUGCACUCCUGGUGUGCUAGCCCUCCUGGGGUUUGGGGGCAGGGCUUGGGUCCAGAGGGCCUCCAGGCAGGGCCUUGCUCCAGGGAGCAGGCUGCUCAGGAGCUGCUUACCUCCGGUCAGGGAGCAGUUCUAGGAGCUGCUCACCUGUAUGGCCCAGCAGUGCCCGCCCUUGAGGUCCUCUCCUGGGUCACUGUCACCCCCCUCCACCUUAAUCCCACUAACUUUCUGAGUCAUCCUCUAUCACUGCCAUCCUCACUUUUUGCACUGCACUUUUCACAGCCUGAAAUCACUCACUUUGUCCUUAUUUGUUGUAUGUGAUGGACAGAGGAGGCUGAGUCUUCACUGCUGUCUCUGUCAUAGAGAUCUCACUCAGAAAAUACUGAACGAGUGAAUGAAUGAGAGUGGGCCCAAGAGCCAGAAAGAUUUUCCACAGACUGCAGAGGGGUGCUCAGAAUCAGUAUAGUAAAACCUCAGUGGGAAACUGGGGCCUCUCUCCGAGCACACAAAUGUGCCUGUCCUCCCGAGUUGGCAUCACUGCAUGGGUGUCCGGGACUCUAGAGAAGAUUCCAAAACCUUCAUGAAGCCUCUGAGGGGACUGAGGAGUGAGGAAGGUCCCUACCAUCAGAGAGAGCUCUGAUCCUGGCCCAAAGCCCAUGGCAGGAGACCCUCAGCCACCCUCUAAAGGAUACCCAGGUUAUGAUGGUGGCUGUAUCUGGGGUCAGACAGGCACCAGAGGGUGGCAGUGGGAGAGAUGAACAGGGGAUCUCGUGUGAAUUUCACUGAUUAGUCACAGCAUUCUAAUUAAAGGCCACAAAGCAAGGCCUCAGGCUUCUUUCAAAGAACGGGGGCCAUAUUCAUCUCACAGCCCUGUCGUCACUAGUGAUGCCCAGCCAUCUGAGGGCUGGAGAUUGAGUCCAAAGCUUACCACGCUUCCCUUACUCUUUUGGAGCUGGGACUCAUCAUGGGCUGCACCCAUCUUAAGGGGACCCCUUCAUUUCUUCUCUGCAUCCAGUUUCCUUGGUGACAUUUUAAUCAGUUUGAACUGGAAAGAAGUCUUCCUCUCGUCACCCUCUGAAAAUAUUUAAUUGUUAAACUUCCUUUUAAAAAAAAUUUUGCUGCUUAAUGUUUCAGUAUUUCUAAACAAACCAAUUUUACAGACAUUGCGUCCUUAAUGGGACCUAAUUAUGGGAGUGUUCCAGCAAAGAUGCAGGGGCUGCGGGGGUCAUUCAGGAAGUUGCACGUUCCCCAGGAGGAGGGGCUGCAGGAGGAGCUUGGAGGAUUCUUACAUCAUUACACACCAUAAUUACACGUACUUUUACUAGGGGCUGUGAAAAUGCUUUCUUACAAAUAAUUAAAUUCAGCACAACCAGAACUGCAUUGAGAAGAUACAAACCUUUCAGAAAAGCAACAAAAUCAGCACCUGUGGAUUAAAUCUUUACAGUCACCUUCAUUAGGCCUCAAUCCAUCCCCUCUAUUCACUCUCUCCUGAGAGGGAGCAGAAGAAUUCCCCUACAGUGACAAUGGCUUCAGUCAGAAAACCUACAUCUGAGCCUCAGAUCUGCUAUAUAUCCUGCGGUUGGAAUUUGGUGUGAGUUAUUUCCCCCGAGCUUUAGUUUUCUUAUCUGUAAAAUGCGGAUCAGAGGAACAUAAGGCUUGGCAGAGCUAGGAGGAUCAAAUGAGAUGAUGGAUGGAAGCAUGCUUUACAAACUAUGAAAGGCCAGAUACACUACUCAGAGAUUUAGCCUCUCUUGGAGAAUGUACUGGAGGAGCCAGAGGCCCAGAUGCCCAGGCCAGUUGCCUGCCAGACAAACUGGAACCCUCCACCGAGGGUGUUCUGUCUGCCCAUUGCCGAACAAACCUAACACUUCUCUUACAUUUCAGGGCCCACCGUGCUCUCAGAGACCCAUGGUCAACUGUCCCAGUAUUUCUAUUUUCACUCUCCUUUCUAGUGACUGGAGACCUGUAAGAUGGGUAUUUCAGAAAGCCCAAUGUCUGGGUCUCUGGGCCACCAGCUACACCAUCAAGCCUCUGACUUAAAAGUAAAAUUAGAUCAUAUGAUGGGUGACUCGUUGAAAUUAACCUGUAAUGUUUUUGGUGAAAUCUUUUAUUGAAUAAUCAUAUAAUAACCCUUCACUACAUAUUUCUUGAAUAAAAUGAUUGAUUAGAGGUAUUUUAAAAAAAUAAUUUGGGAGUAUAAAUAGAGAUUUUGUUGGAACAUUUUAAACUUAAUUCUGUGAAUGUCCUCUCCUUCCUUAAACUGGAACCUGACCCCUGUUGGAGCAAGAAAGCAGGAUCGUGAUAUCCAAGCUGCGUAUGAUUAGAGUGCCCAAGUGGAUACUGUGCUAGUCUCCAUGUGCCAUUCUCAGCCCAGGAAGACUUGCUUGUGGUCUCAGACAUGGCAGAGUCAUUGAGGUUUAAGUGUAUGUGUACAUGUGGACAAGAUCAUUGUCUUUGGUGGGGCGUGCAGAAAAGGUUAUGAUCAUCUUUGCCCUCAGUGGGUGCUCCACUCCACUCCCUGGAGUCAUUCAGAGCUGUGGUCAUCUGGCCACUACUGGCAGAUUCUACCCAUGUCCCAUUACCUGCCUCCUACAAUGCCUGUGGCUUGUUUGUUAUUGGCGUGAAUAACGAUAACUCUCCAUUGGGAUACAACAUGACUUACUGAGACCCCUCUAGAAGCCAUUAAAUGGACCCAGGGACCUAUAAAGACAAUGAAGGAAUGCAGACCAUGGUCCAGUUGGUACUUUGGGGAGCCAGUCACUUUGCAGAAAUGCCAUUGUCGCAGUGUGAACAGAGCCCACUGAAAGAAAUCGAGAAACUGAAAACAAUAAGUGGCGUCUUCCAACUGAAGGAGAAGAGCUGGGACAGACAGAGCAGGCUGCGGUGGGGUUCUGCUGAUGGGCUUCCUGUGUGGCUGUGUCGCCGGGCCAGUGGGUGCCACAGCCAGACCUCCUUGCUCCACUGCAGGCCCUACUGAAAGAUCUAUCUAGUUCCUGCUUUUCUCAAGACAAAAGCUCAUUGGCAACUGGAAAUGAUUUUGUAGUCAGUCAUUGCUGACAUUUAAAGGGUUUUGCUGCUGAAGUCAUUUGGCACAAUGGCAAAGGACCCUGGUCCUUGGGACGGUACUGGUGCCACCUUCUAGCUGGAGGAAAUUGGGAGCCUCGCUGGCCUCUUUGAGCCUCAGUGUCCUUGUCUCUAAAAUGGGAAUAACAAUAACUGCAAGAGUAAUCAUGUCAUAAGGUCAUCGUAAGACUGAAUGGAAUCAUCCACAAAAAUUACCCCGCAAAUGCUAAGUGUUCAAGAUAUUUUGCUAUCUCUGUUCUGAAGAACAUUACAG